GUGUCGUGAGAUGUUGGGUUAAGUCCCGCAACGAGCGCAACCCUCGUGCCUAGUUGCCAACGGCUCGGCCGGGAACUCUAGGCAGACUGCCGGUGACAAACCGGAGGAAGGUGGGGAUGACGUCAAGUCCUCAUGGCCCUUAUGGGCAGGGCUACACACGUGCUACAAUGGCCGGUACAGAGGGUCGCCAACCCGCGAGGGGGAGCCAAUCCCAAAAAGCCGGUCGUAGUCCGGAUCGGAGUCUGCAACUCGACUCCGUGAAGUCGGAAU
This 270-nucleotide ribosomal RNA is filed under the name uncultured Thioalkalivibrio sp. Its description in RNAcentral is "partial 16S ribosomal RNA". It matches the Rfam family "Bacterial small subunit ribosomal RNA", at positions 1062 to 1332 of the family's 1533-position model. Lineage: Bacteria; Pseudomonadati; Pseudomonadota; Gammaproteobacteria; Chromatiales; Ectothiorhodospiraceae. The record is from RNAcentral.